RNAcentral lists this ribosomal RNA (400 nucleotides) under uncultured Glomeromycotina. RNAcentral describes it as "eukaryotic LSU rRNA". It matches the Rfam family "Eukaryotic large subunit ribosomal RNA", at positions 366 to 658 of the family's 3401-position model. The record is from RNAcentral. Lineage: Eukaryota; Fungi; Glomeromycota.
GAAAAGAACUUUGAAAAGAGAGUUAAAUAGUACGUGAAAUUGUUGAAAGGGAAACGAUUGAAGUCAGUCAUGCUAAUAGGGAAUCAACUUGAUGGGUCGUUCCCCCGGGAGCAAUCUUUCUUGUGCACUUCCUUGUUCAGCAGGUUAGCAUCAAUUUCGGUUGUCAUCAAAAAAUUGAGGGAAUGUAACUUCUUUCGGGAAGUGUUAUAGACCUUAGUAUAUGUGAUAACCGGGAUUGAGGAUUGCAGCGGAUGCUUUUGGGCUAGUCACCUACCUUCUGACGGUUACCCUGCUUUCGAUAGUUUGCUAACGAUUGUGGGAUAUAACAGUCCUAGAUGUUAGAGUGAUCUUAUAUUCGCUAAGGAUGCUGACGUAAUGGCUUUAAACGACCCGUCUUGAA